AGCCUCACAGCGAGUAGCGGAUUUCUACUCCGUGGGUUGCAGGUUCGAAUCCUGCUGGGGCCA
Molecule: transfer RNA, 63 nt
Filed under: Bradyrhizobium erythrophlei
Lineage: Bacteria; Pseudomonadati; Pseudomonadota; Alphaproteobacteria; Hyphomicrobiales; Nitrobacteraceae
Description: tRNA_Arg_TCT
Rfam family: tRNA
About the family: Transfer RNA (tRNA) molecules are approximately 80 nucleotides in length.
Source: RNAcentral